Long non-coding RNA from Amphimedon queenslandica, 897 nucleotides. RefSeq lists it as uncharacterized. The record is from RefSeq and is a predicted model, not a curated record. The transcript has 5 exons. Lineage: Eukaryota; Metazoa; Porifera; Demospongiae; Haplosclerida; Niphatidae.
GGAAAGAUCUUUUGCACCAUGAUCCUCCAUUUACUAUUCUUAUACAAAUAAAACACUUAGCAACAGUGAUGAGGCAAUUAGUUAUUGAAAAAACAGAUAAUUCCUCUUCCAAAGAAUUUACUGCAGUUCUUUUAGGACUAAUGAAAAUGUACUGGCUUUGUAAUGGCCAUUGCACACAUUGCAAAGUUUUGACUCCAAAAGUUGUUGAUGAGUAAAUGGGGCUGCAUCUACAAGUGGAGAUUGAGGGGUAUAUAGCUCCAGUUACAAGUGACACGUCUUUUGAUAGCCCAACAAGUAGCAGGUCACCCCCAUCCAAACGUAGGCAUUGACCACUGGUAGACUAUACAGAAGAGUGAAGAGUCCUCAAGUGCAGUCAAUAGUACAAGUGAUCACGAAGUGAAUUGAGUCUAGUGGAUCGUCACCAGAUACAGAAACUCAAGCGUACACACUUAAAGAGCAAGCACCGGCCACAUUUGACACUGCUCUUCUAGUGAGUUCUUUUGUUAUGUUGCCUUUUGAUAGAUUAAUUGUCAUCAUUAUGGAAUACCUGAUGUUGUUUUGAUGAUGAUUCAUCUAUAGUAAUAGUCGAGUUUAUGAAUGAGGUACCUAGUCUUGUUGCAUUUGAGAGUGAUGUGGGGCAGUUACUGUUUUAUGUGAUGGGCAACCUCAUUGAAACAUCGUAUAAGGAUUCCCAACAUAUUUUGGGAAUACUAAUUGAAGGAAAACAGUUUCUAUUAUGUCAUGCAACAUGGGACAGGAUGAAUGAAAGUUUCAUGAUUGUAAUAUCCCAGUUUUACAACUUGCUUGAUGCUGACAAUUUGAUAUACCUUUGUGAAACCUGUUAUGACAUGUUUACACUCAACAAUUGAUUAUUCAUUAUUUUGCCAUUAAAUAUUA